GAUAUCGCGCCGGACUGAACGGAUAACUUUGAUGACGUUAACUAUGGGAACCCCUUCCCCGAUAUCU
RNAcentral lists this transfer RNA (67 nucleotides) under Cryptonome barbada. RNAcentral's name for it is "tRNA-Ile". Lineage: Eukaryota; Metazoa; Annelida; Polychaeta; Eunicida; Amphinomidae. The record is from RNAcentral.